GAUGAAGAACGUAGUGAAAUGCGAUACGUAAUGUGAAUUGCAGAAUUCAGUGAAUCAUCGAGUCUUGAACGCACAUUGCGCCCCCUGGUAUUCCGGGGGGCAUGCCUGUCCGAGCGUCAUUGCUGCCCUCAAGCACGGCUUGUGUGUUGGGCCUCCGUCCUCCUCCCGGGGGACGGGCCCGAAAGGCAGCGGCGGCACCGCGUCCGGUCCUCGAGCGUAUGGGGCUUCGUCACCCGCUCUUGUAGGCCCGGCCGGCGCUUGCCGACACAUCAAUCUUUUUUCCAGGUUGACCUCGGAUCAGGUAGGGAUACCCGCUGAACUUAAGCAUAUCAAUAAGCGGAGGA
RNAcentral lists this unclassified non-coding RNA (344 nucleotides) under soil metagenome. RNAcentral describes it as "partial contains 5.8S ribosomal RNA, internal transcribed spacer 2, and large subunit ribosomal RNA". The stretch from base 1 to 119 matches the Rfam family "5.8S ribosomal RNA", at positions 35 to 154 of the family's 154-position model. The record is from RNAcentral.